GUUGCGGCGGAGGGUGAGUAACACGUGGGUAACCUGCCUGUAAGACUGGGAUAACUCCGGGAAACCGGGGCUAAUACCGGAUGGUUGUUUGAACCGCAUGGUUCAAACAUAAAAGGUGGCUUCGGCUACCACUUACAGAUGGACCCGCGGCGCAUUAGCUAGUUGGUGAGGUAACGGCUCACCAAGGCAACGAUGCGUAGCCGACCUGAGAGGGUGAUCGGCCACACUGGGACUGAGACACGGCCCAGACUCCUACGGGAGGCAGCAGUAGGGAAUCUUCCGCAAUGGACGAAAGUCUGACGGAGCAACGCCGCGUGAGUGAUGAAGGUUUUCGGAUCGUAAAGCUCUGUUGUUAGGGAAGAACAAGUACCGUUCGAAUAGGGCGGUACCUUGACGGUACCUAACCAGAAAGCCACGGCUAACUACGUGCCAGCAGCCGCGGUAAUACGUAGGUGGCAAGCGUUGUCCGGAAUUAUUGGGCGUAAAGGGCUCGCAGGCGGUUUCUUAAGUCUGAUGUGAAAGCCCCCGGCUCAACCGGGGAGGGUCAUUGGAAACUGGGGAACUUGAGUGCAGAAGAGGAGAGUGGAAUUCCACGUGUAGCGGUGAAAUGCGUAGAGAUGUGGAGGAACACCAGUGGCGAAGGCGACUCUCUGGUCUGUAACUGACGCUGAGGAGCGAAAGCGUGGGGAGCGAACAGGAUUAGAUACCCUGGUAGUCCACGCCGUAAACGAUGAGUGCUAAGUGUUAGGGGGUUUCCGCCCCUUAGUGCUGCAGCUAACGCAUUAAGCACUCCGCCUGGGGAGUACGGUCGCAAGACUGAAACUCAAAGGAAUUGACGGGGGCCCGCACAAGCGGUGGAGCAUGUGGUUUAAUUCGAAGCAACGCGAAGAACCUUACCAGGUCUUGACAUCCUCUGACAAUCCUAGAGAUAGGACGUCCCCUUCGGGGGCAGAGUGACAGGUGGUGCAUGGUUGUCGUCAGCUCGUGUCGUGAGAUGUUGGGUUAAGUCCCGCAACGAGCGCAACCCUUGAUCUUAGUUGCCAGCAUUCAGUUGGGCACUCUAAGGUGACUGCCGGUGACAAACCGGAGGAAGGUGGGGAUGACGUCAAAUCAUCAUGCCCCUUAUGACCUGGGCUACACACGUGCUACAAUGGACAGAACAAAGGGCAGCGAAACCGCGAGGUUAAGCCAAUCCCACAAAUCUGUUCUCAGUUCGGAUCGCAGUCUGCAACUCGACUGCGUGAAGCUGGAAUCGCUAGUAAUCGCGGAUCAGCUGCCGCGGAUUUCC
RNAcentral lists this ribosomal RNA (1288 nucleotides) under Bacillus subtilis. RNAcentral's name for it is "bacterial SSU rRNA". It matches the Rfam family "Bacterial small subunit ribosomal RNA", at positions 92 to 1369 of the family's 1533-position model. Lineage: Bacteria; Bacillati; Bacillota; Bacilli; Caryophanales; Bacillaceae. The record is from RNAcentral.